AAAAACUAAAUAGUAUAAGUGAUCUAAAAAAUAAUAAUAAUUGUAGGUGGUGGUGCGAACAUAAUAUUCCCACAAAGAAAUUACUGAACAUUUCUGGCAUCUGGUGGUAAACUGGAUAUACCAGGGAAUGAAGCUGCUGAGUCGAUUUUUUAAGAUGGCGACACAGCUCGUGUCAACAGAUCCCCUCCCUCCGACAGGGGGAGCCUUCACUGUCACUGUUUGUGUACAAACGCAACGCUUCUGGGUCUCUUUUUUUUCUGAGCUAGUACUUUCAUACAGCAAAUGAACACAAAUAUAGGCUACCUUGAGCACUUCAGUCAAUCAAGUUUUUUUUCAGAAGCUACUGCUAAAUAUGUCAAAAUGUGAGCUAUUGGUCAUUCAUGAUAAUCCUUUAACAUCCCAGUUAAAAAUGUCAAAGUCAAAUACUUAGGUAUGUUUAUGAGGAUGGGUCAUUUAGAACAUUUCGAUGUUUAUUAAACUUUGGAUAAUUGUAAAUUAAUAAUGAAUACUUGGCUGCAGAGAGACACUGGAAUAAUUUUAUUGACAAAAGUAGGCUAGAGAAUCUUAGAUUCAUCUAUUCAUGUUUCUCUUAACAUUUAUUAAUUUAGCUGAUGCUUAGGCUAUAUCCAAAGUGACUUACAACUCUUUAGCUGUUUCUGCAAAAAAGAUAAAGGCAGCUAACAAAUUAAACUUUGAUUUUUUUUUAUGUGGAAAAUGAAGAGUCAUAUACAUAAAGCGAUAUGAUUAAAGAUUAUGAAGAAGGUGGUCUUAAAACGAUUGACUUUGAUAUUAUGAAUGGGGUCACUUAGAUAGGAAUUGCAGUCUUUCAUUAAUGAUCCGUCCUCUUUCUGGUUUGAGAUUACUUCUAUCAUACUCAGUAAAUGUGGUGGCAUAUUUGUUUUUUGUUUUUUGCUGCAAUGUGACUGAACUUUCCAAACUCCCUGUAAAACUUUCUGCUUUCCAUCAACAAGUUUUAUUAUAUUGGAAAUUGAUUUUCAAGCAUAAUUAUAGCCCUCAUAAUAUGUCAAUCUGGAACAACAGAUGUAUAACUGUGAACAGAAAAUCUUUGUUUAUUGAUGAGUGGUGGCAGAAAGGCAUGGUCAGGUGCAAUGGACAAUGUUGGAAAUAUAUUAAACCAUAUACAAUUUAAGCUGCUAAAAUGUAUGAAAAAUACAUUAAGAAUAUUCCAUUACCGAUGGUUAAAGUAGUAAGUGAACAUUUGAAAUAUUUACCUAAACUACAAGGACUUAUUAUAGAAAAUAUAAGCUUUGUUGACAGAAAUUGUUCUAACAAAUUCUUAAGAGACUGUUUAGUACAUCAAUGUUUCCCUAGACCAGUAUUGAGAAAUUAUAUUUUUCGUCAUUAUAAAAAGGAAGAAGUGUGUAAAAUUAGGACAAAUUUUCUUGUUAAUCCUAAAUGUAAAGAGGUGCACUUUAAAAUUUAAAAUCAUAUCCAACAAAAGAAUUUUUAAGAAUAAGAUUUAAUGUUGGGGAUUCAAAUUUAUGUCAAACAUGCAAUGAUAGAAACAGUUGAAAACUUGUUUAUUCAUUGCAUGUUAAACAAAUUUUGUAAUGAUGCGUUGAGCUGGAUGCAACGAAAACUACCUGUAAAGCUGAUACUGUUUUGGGAAUUUGUUAAGUUUGGACUAUUAAUUAAAGAUAAAAAGUUA
Pimephales promelas (fathead minnow) is the source of this 1669-nucleotide long non-coding RNA. RefSeq lists it as uncharacterized. Lineage: Eukaryota; Metazoa; Chordata; Actinopteri; Cypriniformes; Leuciscidae. The record is from RefSeq and is a predicted model, not a curated record.